RNAcentral lists this long non-coding RNA (285 nucleotides) under Ananas comosus (pineapple). RNAcentral's name for it is "long non-coding RNA (ACOM_LNC001998)". Lineage: Eukaryota; Viridiplantae; Streptophyta; Magnoliopsida; Poales; Bromeliaceae. The record is from RNAcentral.
AUAUAUAUAUAUUAACCAAAACAUCACCACCACCGCUGCGGCCAUCAUCAUCAUUACCAACAACAACAACAAAUUUAUAACAUAAACAGACAUCAAUAAAAUAAUAAAGAACCAACAUCAGCAAUAACAAAAUCGGCACCGAUAACCCCUAGCGCAUAUGGCAAAGAGUUUGGUGGUUGAUAUCAAGUCCCAUGUUUGAUGCCUAGUUACUUCACAUUUGCAGCUAUGUUCAUUUCUACCAAAAAAAAGAAUGAGACGACUAGCAUGCUAUCUUUCACUCAAAAA